CGGAGUUGAAGAAGCAAGUCGCUCAGAACCAACAUGAUAAUUCUGAUCUGAAGAGCGAACUUGCGAGUGCCGAAGAAGAAGUGCUGGCCUUGAAGGACAACAACACCGCACUUGCUGAUAGAGCUGCUGGGUUGGAUAUGGAUGUACGCUACCAAUCCGACCAGCUUCAAGAGCUCAUCUUCUUCGGACCAACAGUAUUCCCUGCUCUACCUCCGAACUACAUCACGG
Molecule: long non-coding RNA, 228 nt
Filed under: Zostera marina
Lineage: Eukaryota; Viridiplantae; Streptophyta; Magnoliopsida; Alismatales; Zosteraceae
Description: long non-coding RNA (ZMAR_LNC003532)
Source: RNAcentral